GACGAACGCUGGCGGCGUGCCUAAUACAUGCAAGUGGAACGCAUGAUUGAUAUCGGAGCUUGCUCCACCAUUAAUCAUGAGUCGCGAACGGGUGAGUAACGCGUAGGUAACCUGCCUGAUAGCGGGGGAUAACUAUUGGAAACGAUAGCUAAUACCGCAUAAGAGUCGUUAACACAUGUUAAUGAUUUAAAAGGAGCAAUUGCUUCACUAUCAGAUGGACCUGCGUUGUAUUAGCUAGUUGGUGAGGUAACGGCUCACCAAGGCUUCGAUACAUAGCCGACCUGAGAGGGU
This 291-nucleotide ribosomal RNA is filed under the name uncultured bacterium. Its description in RNAcentral is "partial 16S ribosomal RNA". It matches the Rfam family "Bacterial small subunit ribosomal RNA", at positions 28 to 301 of the family's 1533-position model. The record is from RNAcentral.